UACGUAGGGUGCAAGCGUUACUCGGAAUUACUGGGCGUAAAGCGUGCGUAGGUGGUGCGUUAAGUCUGUCGUGAAAGCCCCGGGCUCAACCUGGGAAUGGCGAUGGAUACUGGCGCGCUAGAGUGCGGUAGAGGAGAGUGGAAUUCCCGGUGUAGCAGUGAAAUGCGUAGAGAUCGGGAGGAACAUCAGUUGCGAAGGCGGCUCUCUGGACCAACACUGACACUGAGGCACGAAAGCGUGGGGAGCAAACAGG
Molecule: ribosomal RNA, 253 nt
Filed under: uncultured bacterium
Lineage: Bacteria
Description: partial 16S ribosomal RNA
Rfam family: Bacterial small subunit ribosomal RNA
Source: RNAcentral